GAUGAACGCUGGCGGCGUGCCUAAUACAUGCAAGUCGAGCGAACAGACGAGGAGCUUGCUCCUCUGACGUUAGCGGCGGACGGGUGAGUAACACGUGGAUAACCUACCUAUAAGACUGGGAUAACUUCGGGAAACCGGAGCUAAUACCGGAUAAUAUAUUGAACCGCAUGGUUCAAUAGUGAAAGACGGUUUUGCUGUCACUUAUAGAUGGAUCCGCGCCGCAUUAGCUAGUUGGUAAGGUAACGGCUUACCAAGGCAACGGUGCGUAGCCGACCUGAGAGGGUGAUCGGCCACACUGGAACUGAGACACGGUACAGACUCCUACGGGAGGCAGCAGUAGGGAAUCUUCCGCAAUGGGCGAAAGCCUGACGGAGCAACGCCGCGUGAGUGAUGAAGGUCUUCGGAUCGUAAAACUCUGUUAUUAGGGAAGAACAAAUGUGUAAGUAACUAUGCACGUCUUGACGGUACCUAAUCAGAAAGCCACGGCUAACUACGUG
Molecule: ribosomal RNA, 497 nt
Filed under: uncultured bacterium
Lineage: Bacteria
Description: partial 16S ribosomal RNA
Rfam family: Bacterial small subunit ribosomal RNA
Source: RNAcentral